Long non-coding RNA from Schistocerca cancellata (South American locust), 2250 nucleotides. RefSeq lists it as uncharacterized. The record is from RefSeq and is a predicted model, not a curated record. The transcript is spliced from 3 exons. Lineage: Eukaryota; Metazoa; Arthropoda; Insecta; Orthoptera; Acrididae.
AAAAAAAAAAAAAAAAAAAAAAAAAAAAAAGCAGACAAUACAGUUUGGACAACUUGAAGUUCGGAUUUAUUGCAUCUCCAUCAAAUCAACACUUGCCGAUGUGUCGCAUAUGUGAAAAAGUAUUCAGUAACGAUGCCAUGAAGCCUUCAAAAAUGGAUGACCACUUAUCAAGAAUACAUGCUGACAAGAAAAUUGGCGUGGGACGUAAGAAGUGGCAGAAAAUCGCACUGGACGCAGAGUCUGUAACUACACAUCCUUGCAUCAGCCUAAUGGACUGGUUGGUGCCUGAUGUCCAAAUGAAAAUUUUUAAAUCUGGAACUCUACCCACAAAUUAAUGUUCAGAAGUGGCAGCACUGUUUCUUGGUACAACACGAAGUUUCUUCUGUACGUGAAGCUGGUGCAUCUUGCAGUCGUCAGAAGUUGUUAUAAGGCAAAGAUGGGGUACAUGACCUACAGGAACCUCUGCACAGCAUAGCUCUGUGAUAAGUUGCUAAAAAAUGUACACUCUGUGCAAUUCUAGUUGUGGCCAUUCACAUCAGAAUGGUUCUUAAGCAGGUAAAACAAUUGCGAUUUUUGAAGAGUUUGCAGACUAUUUAUCUGAACUUCAGAAAUUUCAUACGAGGACAUGCUAAUGUUGGUUCAGCAGAGACAGUAAAUGUAGAUGACGCGGAUAUAGGUCUCUACUUUCAUGUUAUGUUAUGGUUUCUGUUGACGCAAUAGGUAUUUGACAAAAAAAUGGUUUCCUGUUGGUUAUUGGCACGUUGGCACGAUCAUGUGCUAUUGUAAAAACUGCUAUAUUGAGACAUUUCAGAGUGUGUGUGCAAAUGGACAGGCCUGAAGAAUUUGUGAUACUUAUCCCUAUGGUUGUAACACCAUGCCCAUAUAUUGUGAACAAAAUCUUAUUAUUUAGAAAAGAAGUAGGUUGGAAGCAAAUUUUCACAGUAAUUCUGCAAGAGAUAGCUUUUUGCAGGGGUCUGAAUUGCUGUGGUGUGGGCAAAGUAACAAAGGAAAAAAUAGGAUUGAGUUAUUAUUUUAAGGCACUGCAUUCUGCGCCCUGGCAGCUUUCUUCUGAUGUACUCUAUUCUGCUGGCCAUGUGAUGGGGAAUGUCACAAUUUUGCACUGUGAUCCUUACCUGCCAGUGAGAAGUUCCCUCGGCCUUUGACUGUAAACCAACACAGCUACCGUGUCAAAGGUCAUAGUCCUUAGAUUAACUUUUAUCUUAAAAUGUAGCUUUGAUAGGUUGUUAUCUUUCGUACACACAUUUUCGUGAAACUCUAAAGCAGAUAGUAUUUUUGUGUGAAUCCUGCGGAAUUCACUCUACAGGUCCAGCCUACAAAAGAUUAUAAUCCCACACUCGAGACUUGUCCCGUUGCUCUAUUAACCCACCUGUUUUACCUGCACAGGAGUGUAGCUAGUAACAAUGUAAUUAUUAUUGGCUGUGGAAAAGCCCUCGGCCUCUGGAUUUGGAGGGAAUUCCACCUCAACUUUCACUGUAAGCAGCGACAAUGUGUGUAAUCCAGAUAGUACUGCCCCUAGCUCGUUCCCUCGGAAGAAAGAGGCUUACAAAGGAAGAUUCUGUAUUUCCGACACAGCGUCCUCGAUGCCAGGCUCGUAAACCGUCGGUACUGAAACAGGGAGCAACAUAAUGGAAUUGGGGAUAUCAUCCUCGAUUGGCUGAUAACACAGUUUCAAGUGUUUUUAAGAAACCUGUGGGAUUUGUUAAACCUGUAGGUUACUGAUUACUGAUAAGUGUAUCUCUGUAUGAACCAGAAUGAAAAAAGGCCUUCACAAGCCAGCACUCAUGGGUAUAAGGAAGAAUUCAGAAGGAUAGGGUGUGUCCAAACUCCCUGGUUACUCAAGAUUCUAAAUGCCCUCUGUUAAAAUGACAGUGCCACUCUGGUCAGGUGGCCAAUACACCCUGACAUUGCCAACUGCAUUUGUGUAGAAGGAUUGGUUAUCAGACUUGUAUUUGUUAGUUUUCAGAUAGCAACAUAUACAUGCAAGGGGCCUUGCAUUAAGCCUUCUUUAUCCAUCUGUACCCCCAUUUGAAAUAAAUGCUACAACAUGUUGUUCCGCUCCUGAACAGCACCAUUGACUUCCUCAACAAAUAGCUCCUCACCUGACAACAUUUCAUUUAUUUUAGUCCCUCCCAUUGUUCACCAACUGAGACAGUGUGUGUGUAUUCCUUCAACUGUUACUUAUGCACUGUAUCCAUCUUUCGGAUAUAAAAUGAGUUUGCAUCCAUUAUC